Long non-coding RNA from Helianthus annuus (common sunflower), 369 nucleotides. RefSeq lists it as uncharacterized. The transcript has 3 exons. NCBI's taxonomy places the organism in Eukaryota, Viridiplantae, Streptophyta, Magnoliopsida, Asterales, Asteraceae. The record is from RefSeq and is a predicted model, not a curated record.
AGGAAAACCCUUGUUGCCACAAAAUCAAUCAAAUUGAAAGGGAAUUGAAGCUUGAUUGUAUGCAUGGAUUAAGAUUUAUGACCAACUAAGUGUUCUUAUCACCAAUAUAGGAAUCAUGUCGAAAUGGAAUCAAACAUGAAAGGCUAAUGGGUCAAGAGGAGGAAAGGAAGCGGACACGAACACGGAUGCAUAAGGUACUACACGGAUUUCUUCUACCACUAAUGAAGCGAAUCGGACGUAGGUGAAGCCAAGAGCAAGGAUUGUACGGAAGAUCGGUCACAUAGUUAGAUUAUGUAACGCUUUGAAGUCUUGAUUUAAGUAUGAAUGUUGGGAAUUAUUGUUUUUACAAGACGUUUGACAUUUUGUAAU